Small nuclear RNA from Apodemus sylvaticus (European woodmouse), 107 nucleotides. Lineage: Eukaryota; Metazoa; Chordata; Mammalia; Rodentia; Muridae. The record is from RefSeq and is a predicted model, not a curated record.
GGGCUCAAUUUGGCAACACAAAGACUAAAAUCAGAAUAAUACAGAGAAGAUUAGCAUGGCCCCUGUGCAAGGAUGACACACACGUUUUUGAAGUAUUUUAUUUGUAC